AUUGAACGCUGGCGGCAUGCCUUACACAUGCAAGUCGAACGGCAGCACGGGAGCAAUCCUGGUGGCGAGUGGCGAACGGGUGAGUAAUAUAUCGGAACGUGCCCAGUCGUGGGGGAUAACGCAGCGAAAGCUGUGCUAAUACCGCAUAUGAUCUAUGGAUGAAAGCGGGGGACCGCAAGGCCUCGCGCGAUUGGAGCGGCCGAUAUCAGAUUAGGUAGUUGGUGGGGUAAAGGCCCACCAAGGCGACGAGCUGUAUCUGGGCGGAGAGGACGACCAGCCACACUGGAACGGAGACACGGUCCAGACUCCUACGGGAGGCAGCAGUGGAGAAUUUUGGACAAUGGGCGCAAGCCUGAUCCAGCAAUGCCGCGUGCAGGAUGAAGGCCUUCGGGUUGUAAACUGCUUUUGUACGGAACGAAACGGUGAGCUUUAAUACAGUUUGCUAAUGACGGUACCGUAAGAAUAAGCACCGGCUUACUACGUGCCAGCCGCCGCAGUAA
This 500-nucleotide ribosomal RNA is filed under the name uncultured bacterium. Its description in RNAcentral is "partial 16S ribosomal RNA". It matches the Rfam family "Bacterial small subunit ribosomal RNA", at positions 30 to 523 of the family's 1533-position model. The record is from RNAcentral.